Molecule: ribosomal RNA, 371 nt
Filed under: uncultured organism
Description: partial 16S ribosomal RNA
Rfam family: Bacterial small subunit ribosomal RNA
Source: RNAcentral
GUAGGGGGCAAGCGUUGUCCGGAAUUAUUGGGCGUAAAGCGCGCGCAGGCGGUCUCUUAAGCCUGAUGUGAAAGCCCACGGCUCAACCGUGGAGGGUCAUUGGAAACUGGGAGACUUGAGUGUAGGAGAGUAAAGUGGAAUUCCACGUGUAGCGGUGAAAUGCGUAGAUAUGUGGAGGAACACCAGUGGCGAAGGCGACUUUCUGGCCUACAACUGACGCUGAGGCGCGAAAGCGUGGGGAGCAAACAGGGAUUAGAUACCCUGGUAGUCCACGCUGUAAACGAUGAGUGCUAGGUGUUAGGGGUCUCGAUGCCCUUAGUGCCGAAGUUAACACAUUAAGCACUCCGCCUGGGAGUACGGCCGCAAGGCUG